GAUGAACGCUGGCGGCGUGCCUAAUACAUGCAAGUCGAGCGAACAGACGAGGAGCUUGCUCCUCUGACGUUAGCGGCGGACGGGUGAGUAACACGUGGAUAACCUACCUAUAAGACUGGGAUAACUUCGGGAAACCGGAGACAAUACCGGAUAAUAUAUUGAACCGCAUGGUUCCAUAGUGAAAGACGGUUUUGCUGUCACUUAUAGAUGGAUCCGCGCCGCAUUAGCUAGUUGGUAAGGUAACGGCUUACCAAGGCAACGAUGCGUAGCCGACCUGAGAGGGUGAUCGGCCACACUGGAACUGAGACACGGUCCAGACUCCUACGGGAGGCAGCAGUAGGGAAUCUUCCGCAAUGGGCGAAAGCCUGACGGAGCAACGCCGCGUGAGUGAUGAAGGUCUUCGGAUCGUAAAACUCUGUUAUUAGGGAAGAACAAAUGUGUAAGUAACUAUGCACGGCUUGACGGUACCUAAUCAGAAAGCCACGGCUAACUACGUG
RNAcentral lists this ribosomal RNA (497 nucleotides) under uncultured bacterium. RNAcentral describes it as "partial 16S ribosomal RNA". It matches the Rfam family "Bacterial small subunit ribosomal RNA", at positions 28 to 507 of the family's 1533-position model. The record is from RNAcentral.